AGAUGGCGGACGAAAACCCGUGUCGCGCCAUUUUGGCACACAUUUCUCAUUUUAGCUACUAAAAUAAUGAAAAUAACUCAGUUUCUUGUUGAAUAACGUGAAAUGUUGUUCAUUCUUAGUAAGUUUAAGAGUUUUUAGAGUAUUUCGUGUGCAGGUAAGGUAUGUGCUCGAAUGAAUGAUAUGCUGUUUGAAAAGACAAUAUUUUUUAUUAUUAUAAAAUAAUAUUUAUAACCCUCUGUGUUGCUGAGAAGUUUGUUCAUUGCCAUGGAUGAGAAAGGACGAAUGAAAGUGCCCUGUACUGUACGAGAACCGGUGUCGCCAAAGCCACACAUUUAAUAAUUUUUUUCUUUCUCGCCAUAACUUUAGGAAGCGCUCUGUAGGGCAGUACAUUUAACAUAAUAUUGUACAUUUGGACGUAAAUUUACUACGAUUUAAUUAGUCUGGAUUCAAUAAAAGUUUUUAGUAGUUACAGGACUUCUACCUAUACUUACAGAUGUUAUAAUAGGUCUACCUCUGUCAACGGAUAAGAGGAUUACAAUUCCCUUUACUUAUUUUUUCCAUAGAAAAUGUUUUACUGAUUUUUAUCUAAAUGCGCUAAAUAAUGAGUCAUUCCCGUUGGAUACCACAUUUUGAUCCCAAAAUUUUAUGUAUUUCCGAUGGAUCCCAUUAGAAUAAAAUUAAAUAUUUUUAACGGACUUCCUAGUCCGUUAGAAACUAGAAACGGCGGGAAACACCUCUAAAAUACAAACUCAAAGAAUUAGAAAGCAGUACACACCAAUUAAACACCAAAAAGUUCACACCUCAAGAAUAGCCAAAAGUAACAAAUAACGGAACAACCAAAGAAGUUGUUAUUACAAAAAUUAUUAAAUUACACCCUAGCAUUGUGAGUAAAUUUGAAUAAAUUAUAAUCACAAUGCAUAUUCAAAUUGGUUCCCAGCAUUUGGAGUCAUCUUUUAUAAUAAUGCUUAACCCUUUCUUGCAGUUGUGAUAGUUUGGGUUAUUAUUAUUAAUAAUAAGGAGCUCAGGUGAUCUUCUGUUGUUAGUUUCGCUUUGAAAACGGUUGAAUGAAUAUUUGGUUUAUGUUGUUAAGAUUUGAUUGUUAGUAUCUUGGGUGGUUGAGUGUCACUUGGUCAAGAGUAUAAGCAAACUGUAGAAUAAACAAACUAAACAAUAGUUGAUCAAAUGUUUUGGCAUUUUUUUUAAGUAUGUAUAUCUUGAUUCCAAUCAACAUUGUAGUCAGUUUGAUAGCAGCUAAAUUCUUGAUCUUUGUUUUGUGCGCGCUCCCAUAUGAUACAUCUCUGUAGUUAUCAAGCGCCCGAUCAAAUUGUCGGCUGACUAAAAAAUCUGCAGUGUGCGGUUACUCUAAGAUUUGUUUGUCAGUACGUUGAGUGGUGAAUGUUCGUCCGUUAAGUGAUAGUGGUAGAUUCCUGAAAUGGGCGAGUUCAUUUACAAGAUUUCAUUCUGGUUCUCAAUUGGAAUGAUUUUUUUAUUCGAAGACUUAAUGAUAUAUGUCUAUAUCAACCUCUGCAAUAUUUUACUAUUUUUUUAUUUGGAUUAUUUUUGACGUUAAAAUUGAAAUAUUCAAAAAUAAAAUUUAUUUAACUUGCAUGUUUUUACUGCUUAAGAAAUACUAUAUUGUAUGCAUAUUGAAAGCUAUAUAGAAACUAUUCUAAAAUGCUCCUAAAGAAAUCGCCUUUAAUUGAAUCUACCAAAGCGAUCUGUAGCAGGCUCAACGAAAUCGAAAGCUGUUAUAACUAUCAAUAUUUGAUCUAACAAAAACUCACCGGCUCAACGGAACAGUGUUGACUAGGUAUUAUUUCCUACUUUUUAUUAACAAUAUAACCCUACACUUUCGAUCCUUAGCCGUUUUUUCCUACUUCCUGAACUCCACACAUCUGUGCGACAAAAAAUGACAUACACUACACAAAGAACAUUAUUCUAAUUAUGCAUAGACCGACAACGUGCUCCGACAUGAAAAAAAAUAAUAAUAAAAAGGUCGAUAAAGGGUUAACUUUUUGC
Molecule: long non-coding RNA, 2019 nt
Organism: Helicoverpa zea (corn earworm)
Lineage: Eukaryota; Metazoa; Arthropoda; Insecta; Lepidoptera; Noctuidae
Exons: 2
Source: RefSeq, a predicted model, not a curated record